This 468-nucleotide ribosomal RNA is filed under the name uncultured bacterium. RNAcentral describes it as "partial 16S ribosomal RNA". It matches the Rfam family "Bacterial small subunit ribosomal RNA", at positions 28 to 507 of the family's 1533-position model. The record is from RNAcentral.
GACGAACGCUGGCGGCGUGCUUAACACAUGCAAGUCGAACGGAAAGGCCCUGCUUUUGUGGGGUGCUCGAGUGGCGAACGGGUGAGUAACACGUGAGUAACCUGCCCUUGACUUUGGGAUAACUUCAGGAAACUGGGGCUAAUACCGGAUAGGAGCUCCUGCUGCAUGGUGGGGGUUGGAAAGUUUCGGCGGUUGUGGAUGGACUCGCGGCUUAUCAGCUUGUUGGUGGGGUAGUGGCUUACCAAGGCUUUGACGGGUAGCCGGCCUGAGAGGGUGACCGGCCACAUUGGGACUGAGAUACGGCUCAGAAUGGUACGGGAGGCAGCAGUGGGGAAUAUUGCGCAGUGGGCGGAAGCCUGAUGCAGCAACGCCGCGUGCGGGAUGACGGCCUUCGGGUUGUAAACCGCUUUCGCCUGUGACGAAGCGUGAGUGACGGUAAUGGGUAAAGAAGCACCGGCUAACUACGUG